CGCUCCCGUUGAAGCGGCGGCUCGUUGUUUCCCGGGACCUCGGAAGGGCGAGAAGUUACCUCUGGUCUGUUGCAGGGUUGGGACGAACAGAGAGGACCCCAGGAUCCACUCGGGAAGCUGGGAUUUGAUCUGUGACUGAGUGGAAGUGGAUGGAGAGGGAGUAGCGGGGAUAUAAAGGCAGGAGGGGGAUAUAACCUUAUCCAUCACCUUGUAGCGCAGCGCGGUGAGACGCGACGCUGCAACUCCGGAGGGCAGCGUGCAACACACCGCUGCUCUGGAUCCGACGAGGGAAUGACAUAAACACACCCGGAGAUGCUUUCCUGCCCUUCAGUGACAUUAAUACUGCUGCUGCUCUGAACUUUUCUGUCCUCAACACACGAGAAGAGUGUCAAGAAAAGAGUUCUUCUUCUUCUGCUUCUUCUUCUUAUCUGCAAAGGGAGUAAUCAUGCCGGACCAAAUCACAGUUUCGGAGUUUGUGGCAGAGACCAAUGAAGAUUACAAGUCACCGACUGCCUCAAACUUCACCACCAGGAUGUCCCACUGUAGGAACACAGUGGCUGCUCUGGAGGAGGCUCUGGAUGUGGAUCGCAGCGUUCUGUACAAGAUGAAAAAGUCAGUGAAGGCCAUCUACACGUCUGGCCUGGCCCACGUGGAGAACGAGGAGCAGUACACUCAGGCCCUGGAGAAGUUUGGAGAAAACUGCGUGUACAGAGACGAUCCUGAUCUGGGUUCGGCCUUCCUCAAGUUCUCCGUCUUCACCAAGGAGCUCACUGCGCUUUUCAAAAACCUUUUCCAAAACAUGAACAACAUCAUCACCUUUCCCCUGGACAGCCUGCUGAAAGGAGACCUGAAGGGUGUCAAAGGGGAUUUGAAAAAGCCAUUCGACAAAGCCUGGAAGGACUACGAGACAAAAGUCUGCAAAGGACAUUCUUUACUGAAAGGCACCAAGAUAGAGAAGGAGAAGAAGGAGCACGCGAGACAACACGGGAUGAUUCGGACAGAAAUCAGCGGGGCGGAAAUCGCCGAAGAGAUGGAGAAGGAGAGGAGAUUCUUCCAGCUGCAGAUGUGUGAGUACCUCCUCAAAGUCAAUGAGAUCAAAAUCAAGAAGGGGGUGGAUCUGCUGCAGAACCUCAUCAAGUACUUCCACGCACAGUGCAAUUUCUUUCAGGAUGGUCUAAAAGCUGUGGACAACCUGAAACCUUCCAUAGAGAAACUGGCCACAGAUCUGCACACGAUAAAGCAGGUGCAGGACGAGGAGAGGAAGCAGCUGACUCAGUUACGAGACGUCCUGAAGUCAGCACUACAGGUGGAGCAGAAGGAGGAUUCCCAGGUGCGGCAGAGCACCACCUACAGCCUGCACCAGCCGCAGGGCAACAAGGAGCACGGCACCGAGCGCAGCGGCUGCCUUUAUAAGAAAAGUGAUGGGUUGAGGAAAGUGUGGCAGAAGAGGAAGUGUACAGCGAAGAAUGGAUACCUCACUAUCUCACACGGCACAGCUAACCGGCCGCCAGCUAAGCUCAACCUGCUCACCUGUCAGGUGAAACACAAUCCUGAAGAAAAGCGGAGUUUUGACCUCAUAUCACAUGACAGAACGUAUCACUUCCAGGCCGAGGACGACCAGGACUGUCAGAUCUGGAUCUCGGUGCUACAGAACAGUAAGGAGGAGGCGUUAAAUCAGGCUUUCAAAGGGGAUCAUCAUGUUGGGGAGAACAACAUUGUUCAGGAGCUGACCAAGGCAAUCCUGGGAGAAGUCAAGAGGAUGACAGGAAAUGACGUGUGCUGCGACUGCGGAGCCCCCAACCCAACGUGGCUGUCCACCAACCUGGGCAUCCUCACCUGUAUUGAAUGUUCGGGGAUCCACAGGGAGCUGGGAGUCCACUACUCCCGCAUCCAGUCCCUCACUUUGGAUGUACUCAGCACCUCGGAGCUCUUGCUGGCCAAGAAUGUGGGGAAUGCUGGCUUUAAUGAAAUCAUGGAGGCUUGUUUAAGUGCUGAAAAUGUGGUGAAACCCAACCCAGCCAGUGACAUGCAGGCGAGGAAAGACUUCAUCACAGCCAAAUACACGGAGAAACGCUUCGCCAGGAAGAAGUGUCCUGAUCCGACAUCGAGGCUCCACACACUGUGCGACGCAGUAAAAGCUCGAGACAUCUUCUCUCUAAUCCAGGUCUACGCCGAGGGAGUCGACCUCAUGGAGCCGAUACCUCUGGCCAACGGACAUGAACAAGGGGAGACAGCUCUUCAUCUAGCGGUCAGGCUGGUGGACAGAACGUCUCUGCACAUCGUGGACUUCCUCACCCAGAACAGUUUAAAUUUGGACAAGCAGACGGCCAAAGGCAGCACAGCGCUGCACUACUGCUGCCUGACCGACAACAGUGAAUGUUUGAAGCUGCUGCUGAGGGGGAAGGCCUCCAUAGAGAUCGCUAAUGAGGCCGGGGAGACGCCGCUGGAUAUCGCUCGGAGGCUCAAACACCUACAGUGUGAGGAGCUGUUGAAUCAAGCGUUGGCAGGAAAAUUCAACGCCCAUGUCCAUGUUGAGUAUGAAUGGUGCCUCCAGCACGAAGACCUGGACGAGAGUGACGAAGAUCUGGACGAGAAGCCGAGUCCUCACCGGAGAGACGAGCGUCCGGUCAGCUGUUACACUCCGGGCAGCAACUCCCACCUCCAGUCCGGCUCAGCGGGCCGCGACGCCGCCGGCCUCUCCAAGGACAAGCAGCGGCCCUACAUGCCCAACCUGGUCAACAACGAGACGUACGGCACCAUCCUGAACGCCAACCCUCCACAACCCGCCACCACCUCUGCGCCGCCCCUGCCCCCGAGGAACCUGGUCCAGUUAGCCGGUCUGGGAGGGAUCAGUCAGUCCUCAGCGUCCAGCAGCUGGAAGCCUGGUUCUUUAGACCUGGUCGGUCGGCAGAGAUCAUCCUCAGACCCCCCCAACAUGCACCCACCUGUACCCCCCAUGAGGCUCACUUCAACUGGAGGUUUGGGUCUUGCUCCUGUGGCGAAGAUGGAAGCGAUGAGCAUCCAGUCCAAGUCUAGCCAGGGGCCACUGGGGUCCAGAUCAGCGCCACCUAAAUCUCCUGCAGGCAAUGAUAAAAGCUUCAACAGAGGGCCUCUAAAUCGAACAGAAUCUAUUGAAAGAGCGGCUAAGGAAGUGCCAGGAUGCCCCCAGAACUCCAUAGGUCAGUCUCUGCCUCCAGCCCCCAUGCCGAGGAAGGCCUACCCCAAACAGAGGCCAAAGCGAGUGAAAGCCAUCUACAACUGUGUAGCCGACAACCCCGAUGAGUUGACCUUCUCUGAGGGCGAGGUGAUCGUGGUGGACGGAGAAGAGGACCAGGAGUGGUGGGUAUAGACGACGAUUAAAAUGACUUAAAUGGAGAUAAUAAGUACUGUCUGCUUUAUACCCAAGCUGGGCCACAUUGAAGGCGAUCCGAUGAGAAGAGGGGCCUUCCCCGUUACGUUUGUACACUUCAUCGCUGACUGAAAGGUCACUCUGGGUCUCAGGAAGUGUUGCGGGAUGCAGCGUCCCACUUUCACCCGUCUCUGUCUGCCAUCGUCCCAGUGUUGGUCGUCAACAUCGUCAUCUUCAUCUUCUUCACUGGCAUCUCGAGUGAGUUCCUUUAAGUGUCACUGCUGCAUCACCACCUCAGCGUUGUAUGGGUGUCGUCACGGCAACCGUUGCAGACGUGCAAGUCUGGGUGUCACAGGGGACUCGUGGGACUGUAUGUGGUUUUUAUGCUUCCUGUUAAUGUUCCUGACACAGGCUUGAAAAUUCUAAAAAGAAAAAAAAAUCAAUGAUUGUCGUGAAUGACCUCUCGCAAUGAAUGCACUUUCCUUGACUUUAUCUGUGUUACAACAUAAGAUGACAUAAUGAAGGUUGUAUGUACAGUAUUCAUUUCAUCCGUUUUGUGUUCAGCUGCAUUGUACAGACAGUCCUUGAAGUGGUAGUAGUGGGAAGAUCACAGCAAUGUAUCUUAACUUGCUAACAACUGUAAAUGUGAACGUGCUUACAUUCCACAUCUGUGCAUGAGCGAUUUUUAAAUGUUCUGCUUGGUAGCUGCAACUUUCCACAUCUGUAGUAGCCCUCCUGCGUGGAGGUUUUUCUAAAGGUGCUAAGUUAACCCGGGAACAUGCUGAAAGCUGCACUCGAGGGAGCGUUUCCCUGUCCCCGUUUCAAUGACGGAUUGGUGUUGCAAAGGGGAUGCUGCAUUUCUAAAUAGCCUCCUACUUGUCACGCCUGGAAGAGCCCACUUUCUCAGGUGUGUGUCAAAUAAUAGAGCUGCAAGUGAAUUCAAUGUCGUGCAUCUUCUGCGAAUGCUUUCACACACACACUGCCUGUAGCAUUUUAUCAUUUGGCAAGAGUGGAGUCAUUUUCAGCAGCAGGACUCCAUUUCUUCCUCCUCCUUCCUUCUUCUGGAUCUGUUUUAGGUCAAAUGGUGACACUGACUGGAGCUGCAGCAGCCAGUAAUUACCCUUAUGCUGAGUCUGACACCUCAGGCUGUCGUCGCCUGUCAUCUGCCUUAUUAGAGGAAUAGAAAGUGUGUGUUUGUGUUUGUGUGAGCGCAUGUAUCGUCUGCACAGAAUAAGCUGCGAAUGAAAGGAUAUUAAAAUAAGAGGAAAUUAAAAAAUGAGAGUGUGGGAAUGAGAUGAAAAGCAGGAGUUAGCUCUGUGACUUAUUUUGUUUCCACUUGCCUUUGAGAACCCUCACUCUGGCAGGCUGAGUUUCUUUUUUUUUUGUACACAAAUGAGCUAAAUUGAGUCUCUGUCUUUGAUUCUCUACACAACCUGACAGAAAGGAACAUCCUUCCUUUAGCUUAAGCCUCAUAUCAGUACAUCUGCGGGGUCCUGUGAUGUAGAAACAGGUUUAUCUAAUGUGUUGCGUAAUGAAUAUAAAACAUACAGUGUAAUUAACUUCGGUUUAGUUGCAGAGCAACUUUCUUUCUGUUCAUAUUGUUGAUAUUUAGGCAUUUAACCUGAAACCAGAGCCUUCCAUGGAUUGUGAAUGACAAGAAGAGAAGCAUGUGAAUCGUAGCCGACACGCUCUCUUCAUCUUGUUUAAUAUUAACUCACUGGAAACAGGAAGAUUUAAUAAUCUAUUCGUGUAAAUAUGUUUGGUUUUGUUUGUGGAUAUUUAAAUGUAAAAAAGAGCAGAGUUAACCUUGGCAGUAAAUGUCUUUUAAUGCACUGUGGUGAUGAGCAGUUACAAAUACGACCUCAGCUGGACCUGUGUGUGUGCGUGCUGUAAACACAACACUCAUGCGCACACAAGUGGGAACAUAAUUCAUUCUCAUUAACCAUCUGUGGAUCACUACAUCGACUCUUUAACUCUAUUGUGAAAGUAAAUGGGAAAAUGAAACUGGAAUAAUAAAAUAUGAAAUAAUACAA
Amphiprion ocellaris (clown anemonefish) is the source of this 5382-nucleotide RNA transcript. It is a transcript of the gene named ArfGAP with SH3 domain, ankyrin repeat and PH domain 2a, with no coding region annotated. NCBI's taxonomy places the organism in Eukaryota, Metazoa, Chordata, Actinopteri, Pomacentridae. The transcript has 30 exons. The record is from RefSeq and is a predicted model, not a curated record.